GUUCCUACGGGGGGCAGCAGUAGGGAAUUUUCGUCAAUGGGCGCAAGCCUGAACGAGCAAUGCCGCGUGAACGAGGAAGGUCUUCGGAUCGUAAAGUUCUGUUGAAGGGGAAAAAGAGCGGAGAGAGGAAAUGGUCUCCGAUUGAUAUUACCCUUCGAGGAAGUCACGGCUAACUACGUGCCAGCAGCCGCGGUAAUACGUAGGUGGCGAGCGUUAUCCGGAAUUAUUGGGCGUAAAGAGCGCGCAGGUGGUUAAUUAAGUCUGAUGUGAAAGCCCACGGCUUAACCGUGGAGGGUCAUUGGAAA
RNAcentral lists this ribosomal RNA (305 nucleotides) under uncultured bacterium. RNAcentral's name for it is "bacterial SSU rRNA". It matches the Rfam family "Bacterial small subunit ribosomal RNA", at positions 335 to 632 of the family's 1533-position model. The record is from RNAcentral.